RNAcentral lists this ribosomal RNA (2923 nucleotides) under Staphylococcus aureus. RNAcentral describes it as "23S ribosomal RNA". It matches the Rfam family "Bacterial large subunit ribosomal RNA". Lineage: Bacteria; Bacillati; Bacillota; Bacilli; Caryophanales; Staphylococcaceae. The record is from RNAcentral.
GAUUAAGUUAUUAAGGGCGCACGGUGGAUGCCUUGGCACUAGAAGCCGAUGAAGGACGUUACUAACGACGAUAUGCUUUGGGGAGCUGUAAGUAAGCUUUGAUCCAGAGAUUUCCGAAUGGGGAAACCCAGCAUGAGUUAUGUCAUGUUAUCGAUAUGUGAAUACAUAGCAUAUCAGAAGGCACACCCGGAGAACUGAAACAUCUUAGUACCCGGAGGAAGAGAAAGAAAAUUCGAUUCCCUUAGUAGCGGCGAGCGAAACGGGAAGAGCCCAAACCAACAAGCUUGCUUGUUGGGGUUGUAGGACACUCUAUACGGAGUUACAAAGGACGACAUUAGACGAAUCAUCUGGAAAGAUGAAUCAAAGAAGGUAAUAAUCCUGUAGUCGAAAAUGUUGUCUCUCUUGAGUGGAUCCUGAGUACGACGGAGCACGUGAAAUUCCGUCGGAAUCUGGGAGGACCAUCUCCUAAGGCUAAAUACUCUCUAGUGACCGAUAGUGAACCAGUACCGUGAGGGAAAGGUGAAAAGCACCCCGGAAGGGGAGUGAAAUAGAACCUGAAACCGUGUGCUUACAAGUAGUCAGAGCCCGUUAAUGGGUGAUGGCGUGCCUUUUGUAGAAUGAACCGGCGAGUUACGAUUUGAUGCAAGGUUAAGCAGUAAAUGUGGAGCCGUAGCGAAAGCGAGUCUGAAUAGGGCGUUUAGUAUUUGGUCGUAGACCCGAAACCAGGUGAUCUACCCUUGGUCAGGUUGAAGUUCAGGUAACACUGAAUGGAGGACCGAACCGACUUACGUUGAAAAGUGAGCGGAUGAACUGAGGGUAGCGGAGAAAUUCCAAUCGAACCUGGAGAUAGCUGGUUCUCUCCGAAAUAGCUUUAGGGCUAGCCUCAAGUGAUGAUUAUUGGAGGUAGAGCACUGUUUGGACGAGGGGCCCCUCUCGGGUUACCGAAUUCAGACAAACUCCGAAUGCCAAUUAAUUUAACUUGGGAGUCAGAACAUGGGUGAUAAGGUCCGUGUUCGAAAGGGAAACAGCCCAGACCACCAGCUAAGGUCCCAAAAUAUAUGUUAAGUGGAAAAGGAUGUGGCGUUGCCCAGACAACUAGGAUGUUGGCUUAGAAGCAGCCAUCAUUUAAAGAGUGCGUAAUAGCUCACUAGUCGAGUGACACUGCGCCGAAAAUGUACCGGGGCUAAACAUAUUACCGAAGCUGUGGAUUGUCCUUUGGACAAUGGUAGGAGAGCGUUCUAAGGGCGUUGAAGCAUGAUCGUAAGGACAUGUGGAGCGCUUAGAAGUGAGAAUGCCGGUGUGAGUAGCGAAAGACGGGUGAGAAUCCCGUCCACCGAUUGACUAAGGUUUCCAGAGGAAGGCUCGUCCGCUCUGGGUUAGUCGGGUCCUAAGCUGAGGCCGACAGGCGUAGGCGAUGGAUAACAGGUUGAUAUUCCUGUACCACCUAUAAUCGUUUUAAUCGAUGGGGGGACGCAGUAGGAUAGGCGAAGCGUGCGAUUGGAUUGCACGUCUAAGCAGUAAGGCUGAGUAUUAGGCAAAUCCGGUACUCGUUAAGGCUGAGCUGUGAUGGGGAGAAGACAUUGUGUCUUCGAGUCGUUGAUUUCACACUGCCGAGAAAAGCCUCUAGAUAGAAAAUAGGUGCCCGUACCGCAAACCGACACAGGUAGUCAAGAUGAGAAUUCUAAGGUGAGCGAGCGAACUCUCGUUAAGGAACUCGGCAAAAUGACCCCGUAACUUCGGGAGAAGGGGUGCUCUUUAGGGUUAACGCCCAGAAGAGCCGCAGUGAAUAGGCCCAAGCGACUGUUUAUCAAAAACACAGGUCUCUGCUAAACCGUAAGGUGAUGUAUAGGGGCUGACGCCUGCCCGGUGCUGGAAGGUUAAGAGGAGUGGUUAGCUUUUGCGAAGCUACGAAUCGAAGCCCCAGUAAACGGCGGCCGUAACUAUAACGGUCCUAAGGUAGCGAAAUUCCUUGUCGGGUAAGUUCCGACCCGCACGAAAGGCGUAACGAUUUGGGCACUGUCUCAACGAGAGACUCGGUGAAAUCAUAGUACCUGUGAAGAUGCAGGUUACCCGCGACAGGACGGAAAGACCCCGUGGAGCUUUACUGUAGCCUGAUAUUGAAAUUCGGCACAGCUUGUACAGGAUAGGUAGGAGCCUUUGAAACGUGAGCGCUAGCUUACGUGGAGGCGCUGGUGGGAUACUACCCUAGCUGUGUUGGCUUUCUAACCCGCACCACUUAUCGUGGUGGGAGACAGUGUCAGGCGGGCAGUUUGACUGGGGCGGUCGCCUCCUAAAAGGUAACGGAGGCGCUCAAAGGUUCCCUCAGAAUGGUUGGAAAUCAUUCAUAGCGUGUAAAGGCAUAAGGGAGCUUGACUGCGAGACCUACAAGUCGAGCAGGGUCGAAAGACGGACUUAGUGAUCCGGUGGUUCCGCAUGGAAGGGCCAUCGCUCAACGGAUAAAAGCUACCCCGGGGAUAACAGGCUUAUCUCCCCCAAGAGUUCACAUCGACGGGGAGGUUUGGCACCUCGAUGUCGGCUCAUCGCAUCCUGGGGCUGUAGUCGGUCCCAAGGGUUGGGCUGUUCGCCCAUUAAAGCGGUACGCGAGCUGGGUUCAGAACGUCGUGAGACAGUUCGGUCCCUAUCCGUCGUGGGCGUAGGAAAUUUGAGAGGAGCUGUCCUUAGUACGAGAGGACCGGGAUGGACAUACCUCUGGUGUACCAGUUGUCGUGCCAACGGCAUAGCUGGGUAGCUAUGUGUGGACGGGAUAAGUGCUGAAAGCAUCUAAGCAUGAAGCCCCCCUCAAGAUGAGAUUUCCCAACUUCGGUUAUAAGAUCCCUCAAAGAUGAUGAGGUUAAUAGGUUCGAGGUGGAAGCAUGGUGACAUGUGGAGCUGACGAAUACUAAUCGAUCGAAGACUUAAUCAA